CCUACGGGUGGCAGCAGUGAGGAAUAUUGGUCAAUGGGCGCGAGCCUUAACCAGCCAAGUCUCGUUAGGGAUGACGGUCCUACGGAUUGUAAACCUCUUUUGCCGGGGAGCAAGCGUUCGUUCGUGAACGCGCGUCGAGAGUACCCGGAGAAAAAGCAUCGGCUAACCCCGUGCCAGCAGCCGCGGUAAUACGGAGGAUACGAGCGUUAUCCGGAGUUACUGGGUUUAAAGGGUGCGUCGGCGGGAUGCCAAGUCAGCGGUAAAAAUGCGGUUCUCAACGCCGUCGCGCCGGUGAAACUGGCGUUCUUGAGUGGGCGAGAAGUAUGCGGAAUUCGUGGUGUAGCGGUGAAAUGCAUAGAUAUCACGCAGAACUCCGAUUGCGAAGGCAGCAUACCGGCGCCUUACUGACGCUGAGGCACGAAAGCGUGGGUAUCGAACAGGAUUAGAUACCCGAGUAGUC
This 460-nucleotide ribosomal RNA is filed under the name uncultured bacterium. RNAcentral's name for it is "partial 16S ribosomal RNA". It matches the Rfam family "Bacterial small subunit ribosomal RNA", at positions 338 to 795 of the family's 1533-position model. The record is from RNAcentral.